This 169-nucleotide non-coding RNA is filed under the name marine eukaryotic metagenome. RNAcentral describes it as "6S / SsrS RNA". It matches the Rfam family "6S / SsrS RNA". Rfam says of the family: E. coli 6S RNA was the first non coding RNA to be sequenced, but its function was unknown until recently. It consists of 184 nucleotides that fold into an extended hairpin structure with a large single-stranded internal bulge. The record is from RNAcentral.
UCCUGGGGUGUUUGCCAGCCAAGAAGUCCCUGAGCCGAUAAUUUUUAUCCGGCAGUUCUCCGUCAACAAUGUUGUGCAAUUCCGUGCGUCGGAACGCCUGAUUUGUUGCGAGGGCAGCCACCUUGAACUCUUCGGUUCAAGGCCACGUUGGCAGCGGCACUUUGGGACU